RNAcentral lists this small RNA (132 nucleotides) under Escherichia coli. Its description in RNAcentral is "RtT sRNA". It matches the Rfam family "RtT RNA". From Rfam's summary of the family: This family represents a bacterial cis-regulatory element known as RtT RNA. The exact function of RtT is unknown although it is thought that it may be involved in changing the cellular response in relation to amino acid starvation. The record is from RNAcentral. Lineage: Bacteria; Pseudomonadati; Pseudomonadota; Gammaproteobacteria; Enterobacterales; Enterobacteriaceae.
GUUUGCACUCAUCGGGGAAGGGUGAGAACCUUCGACUAAGGUUCGAUUCGAGCGAAAGCGAGAGAACGUUGCCACAGGCAACGGCCCGAAGGGUGAGGAGCGAAGCGACGGAUAAUCCUUCCCCCACCACCA